Molecule: non-coding RNA, 145 nt
Organism: Pelobates fuscus (common spadefoot toad)
Lineage: Eukaryota; Metazoa; Chordata; Amphibia; Anura; Pelobatidae
Product: small Cajal body-specific RNA 11
Exons: 1
Source: RefSeq, a predicted model, not a curated record
UCCCCCCCCCUUAUUUUAUUAGGGCCCCCACCCACCGCGCUGGGGUGGGGGCCAGGGGGGGAGGACAGUAGGUCCCCCCCCUUAUUAUUUUAUUAGGGCCCCCACCCACCGCGCAGGGGUGGGGGCCAGGGGGGGGGAGGACAGU